GGCUCAGGAUUAACGCUGGCGGCGUGCCUAAUACAUGCAAGUCGAAUGGUAGUAGCAAUACAAACCAUGGCGAACGGGUGAGUAACACGUAGGUAACCUGUCUUUAAGACGAGGAUAACCAUUGGAAACGAUGGAUAAUACUGGAUAGGACAUCACAAAGGGCAUCCUUAGAUGUUUAAAGAUUAUUAUGUCACUUAGAGAGGGGCCUGCGGCGCAUUAGCUAGUUGGUGAGGUAAAAGCCCACCAAGGCGAUGAUGCGUAGCCGGACUGAGAGGUUGAACGGCCACAAUGGAACUGAGAACGGUCCAUACUCCUACGGGAGGCAGCAGUAGGGAAUUUUCGGCAAUGGGCGCAAGCCUGACCGAGCAACGCCGCGUGAACGAAGAAGUUAUUCGUAAUGUAAAGUUCUUUUAUCUGGGAAGAAAAAACAAAUUGACGGUACCAGAUGAAUAAGCUCCGGCUAACUACGUGCCAGCCGCCGC
RNAcentral lists this ribosomal RNA (482 nucleotides) under uncultured bacterium. Its description in RNAcentral is "bacterial SSU rRNA". It matches the Rfam family "Bacterial small subunit ribosomal RNA", at positions 21 to 518 of the family's 1533-position model. The record is from RNAcentral.